Molecule: small nuclear RNA, 107 nt
Filed under: Lynx canadensis (Canada lynx)
Lineage: Eukaryota; Metazoa; Chordata; Mammalia; Carnivora; Felidae
Source: RNAcentral
GUGCUUGCUUCAGCAACACAUAUACUAAAAUUGGAAAGAUACAGAGAAGAUUAGCAUGGCCCCUGGGCAAGGAUGACAUGCAAAUUCGUGAAGCAUUCCAUAUUUUU